Long non-coding RNA from Aethalodelphis obliquidens (Pacific white-sided dolphin), 2317 nucleotides. RefSeq lists it as uncharacterized. Lineage: Eukaryota; Metazoa; Chordata; Mammalia; Artiodactyla; Delphinidae. The transcript has 7 exons. The record is from RefSeq and is a predicted model, not a curated record.
ACAGACCUGGAGUAUCAGGGAGGGUGUCAAUGAGGACGUGCGUCUGCAGCCAGGCAGAAGGUUUGUCAUCCAGUGACUCCACGUUACCACUGGAAACUUCCAAAGGACAAGACAGUCCCAGAAAGAGACUGACUUGAGAGUGAGCCCAAAAAGCAGGCUUGUGGCAGUGAACUCUGGCGAGACUGAUGGAGACAAAUGGAUGUCAUGGGGACACCAAAACAGAGCCUUUCCAGGAAGCAAGUAAAAAGUCAGCUACAGCCUGCUCGUACCCCAGGCGGCUGCAACAGUCUGCACCUACAAUCAAAGGCUAUUCAAAAAAGUGUGAAAUUCUUUUUUUUUAACAUCUUUAUUGGAGUAUAAUUGCUUUACAAUGAUGCAUCCCCUGCUUCGAUACCCGCCUGCUUGAGUCCUGUGAAGAGGUGGCAAUGCAGAAAGCGUGUAAAUAAAAACUGAAAGAGGUGUUUCUUGAAAUUCAUAAAAUCUUGAGGCCUGAGUGACACUGCUUCGAAACUGAAGAAGGCAUGCUUCCCGCCAUGCCGCGAGGCAUUGGUCUGAUGAUGUAGUUUAUAUAAACGGUAAUUCCGGAUAACAUUUGGUGUUGGUAAUAUCUUCCAAGCAUUUCUCCUGUCUUCAAGAUAAAGAAGUUAAGACAUCCGGAAAAGGAUCCAACAGUCAUAAAGCCCUCCUGUGAGAGGUGCCCUCCCUAGACCAGGAUGAGAGGAACAUCCUCAUCUCCAAAGAAAAAGGGAUGCGAAGAAGAAUUGGGAUGCACAGGCCUGGCUAAGCGUCCCCCAGUUUACUACUCUGACCUCAUACCUGUUGUCCUAGGUGCUUGCGGAGGGCUGGCAUCCCAGCAAGAGGAAGUAUUGACUAGAAAUUGAACCCAGAUUCUGAGUUCUGUUUUUGGCUUCAUCAAUGAUUUCUGAGUACAAACUGAGGGCAUAAAUACGGAUUCACGUGUGCCUUUGUUCUCUGGCCUGCCACGUCUGUCCCCACCAGCACAUCUACGCCAGAGCAGGCACUCCACACACUCAGGGACUCAACACACGUCCCCUGAAUGAAUGAUGAAAAUUGCUCUGUCACGAUGGGGGAAAAUUCACCUAGGGUGGAAGAUCCAUCCACCUUUUUCAAGACCCAACGGAAAAACUGGGCAGGUGCGUAUUUCACUCUUCAGUUUUCCAGAUGAGGCUUCCAUGAGUGGAUACAGGUCGUGAUGUGAACCCUUCAAAAGCGUCCGUGAACUGCUUCCUUCCACUUAGAACCCUUGGUUAUCUCAAAGCCGGUCAACUCUUCCAGCCACCUUUAUCCAGGGGCAGCAAGCAAGGAGACCAUAAACUCAUCCAGAUUUAGGCCCUCAGUGCCCAGGAGGAGUGGAGAGAAUAUCCAGGCUAUGGAAUUCUGGCGGCUCAUUAUCAUGACAAAGGUGGUGACAACUUGGACCGGAAGCUGAACAAAAAGCAUCCACUGUUCUAUUUGCAAUUCUAGGAUUGUAUUUGUAAUCUCUCUUUGCGGGAGAAAGAGACUGCCAGUAAAAGGCUGAAACACAAUAGGAAGAGAGGCCGCACAAUGCAGAGAGAGACCAAAGGGCUCCGUGCCUGUGCUCACACGCACGCUCCGUGUGCGCACCUUCCCUGUGUCUGUACACAUUGCACAAGAGGAAAUUAUUGUCAUGGGUAAGAGUUUAACAUUACUGACCUGUAAGAUGGCUUUUAAAAAAUAUAUGCAACAUGGCUGGAAUGCCAAUUGGAAGUGGAGAAGCAUUUCGGGAAGAUGAACUGGCUGCAUGAAUAGACAUGGAGCAGCGCGAGCCGCUUUAAUUUGUUCGCUUUGGAGUGUCUGGGAGUCAGCUAACGCUGUAACCUGCGAAGGAAGUCACCGUGAACGUGAUUAAUAACGUGGUGGGGGGAGGCUCUAGAGUUAUUGUGCUGUGUAGGGUUUUGGUGUCAGGGAGGAGGUAACUGUUCCAAGAGUCACUGACAAUUUUGGUUAACAAGUGAUACAAAUGGAACAGGUCACUCUGCUGUUCUUUGGAGCCCUCCCUCGCCCGGUAGCUGCUCAACUCUGCAAAUUCUAAUUCAUUACCAUUUGCUCCCCUUUUGUUACCUACCUAGCCAGUGACUGUAGCUGGGAAGUGUGUGGUGCAGGGACCAUUCAAAAAAAGCUCAUUGUCCCUGGAGCUCGAGGAGCAAAGCCAUUGCUUUUGUUCAGCUGGAAAAGAGUGAAACCCACAUUGCCUUCUAUCGUCCCACUGCAAACUAGGCUUUUAAUUGGCACGUUGGCGUUAGGAUUUUAAAAGGUGUGCGAUGACAGCUUAGAA